GUUGAGCUGUUCGUCAGCUAGGGAUGGGAACUCCUUUGAAAGUAGAGUUCGUUGGUUCGGGUUUCGUCCAUCUGCUCUGGCAAAUGAUCUCGCAUUCGGGUGAGUGAAUAAGAAGCUUUCUGACACGAAACAAUAAUCCCAUCGCGUUGGACUGAACCUUGACCUUGCCUUUGGGAUGAGUCCUAGCUUUGAACUGAACCUUUGGUUUGAACUUGUAGACGAAUCUUCCAACUUGGGGACUAGACCAUUUGCCAUUGGUGGCAUGGAAAGGCGCUCCACACGAAAAAGAAAAGAAAGUGGGCAAGACGCCAAGCAAAGACCUUGACGCCCGUGCCUGAGUGAAAAGUUCGGUAGAAUUCCUUCUUCUCAUCUGGUAGCGUGAACAACCACAAUCCCUAUUAUCUUUCUUUCUAGCAGCAGGAAUUGUCUUUUGCCAACCUGGAAUGGAGGCUAUAGCAGCAGAAGGGAAUGGUACGAGGGCGAGAUCGGGUGGACUAUUACUGGAAUCGGAACGGUAGGAUGGGGAAUAAAGAAAUGGAAAGGAUUGGGCAGCAAGCACACAGUCGAUGAAGUAGAGAUCCGGCCUAGGGUUACCCUGCACUUGCAAGACGGAUCGAAGGAGGAAGCCGAGACAUCAGGUUCAAAUUCCAGCGGAGAUGAAGACCAUCAGACACUGAUUCUGAGGAUUCAGGACACAGUCCAAGAGAGAGAGAGAUGGAGUCAUGUGGUUGGAACACGACUUGGGAGACAUUUCUUGAUGAGUAGCUCUACAGGUGUACGAAAAACAUUUUUGAAAGACUAUUAAGCGCUGGAAGAACACUUCAGGCAGGUCAUCGAUAGUUGACGACGGUGGACCUGUGGGGGAGCACUUUACUUUAAGGCGUGCCCCAGCAUUAGCAGCAUCUAGUCUUUAGACAAGCAAUUAUUGGAGCCGGAGGGACGAGGGCUCUCUCUCUCCACUUCACCAUCGGAUACUGUAUGGAAAAAAACUAAAGAUUUCUUAUCCCGAACUUAGGACAAGUAUCCGGGCAAUUGUUCGAAUACUUCUCCUAUUGUUCUGUUUCCUUUCCUCCCUUUCCUUAAAGCUGAAAUUCCGGGAAAUCGGAUUUCAGAGUAUAGGAAUAUUCCCCCUGAGGGGGACGAGGCCGUAGGCCGAAGGGGGGUAAGAAUAUCCUAUAAAAGAUAGGAAGGGGAGGGGGUUCGGGG
Molecule: long non-coding RNA, 1206 nt
Filed under: Phoenix dactylifera (date palm)
Lineage: Eukaryota; Viridiplantae; Streptophyta; Magnoliopsida; Arecales; Arecaceae
Description: long non-coding RNA (PDAC_LNC005402)
Source: RNAcentral